This 467-nucleotide ribosomal RNA is filed under the name uncultured bacterium. RNAcentral describes it as "partial 16S ribosomal RNA". It matches the Rfam family "Bacterial small subunit ribosomal RNA", at positions 28 to 507 of the family's 1533-position model. The record is from RNAcentral.
GACGAACGCUGGCGGCGUGCUUAACACAUGCAAGUCGAACGGAAAGGCCUCUUUCGGGGGGUACUCGAGUGGCGAACGGGUGAGUAACACGUGAGUAGCCUGCCCUUGACUUUGGGAUAACUUCAGGAAACUGGGGCUAAUACCGGAUAGGAGCUCCUGCUGCAUGGUGGGGGUUGGAAAGUUUCGGCGGUUGGGGAUGGACUCGCGGCUUAUCAGCUUGUUGGUGGGGUAGUGGCUUACCAAGGCUUUGACGGGUAGCCGGCCUGAGAGGGUGACCGGCCACAUUGGGACUGAGAUACGGCCCAGACUCCUACGGGAGGCAGCAGUGGGGAAUAUUGCACAAUGGGUGGAAGCCUGAUGCAGCAACGCCGGGUGCGGGAUGACGGCCUUCGGGUUGGAAACCGCUUUCGCUCAUGACGAAGCUUUGUGUGACGGUAGUGGGUAAAGAAGCACCGGCUAACUACGUG